Molecule: non-coding RNA, 70 nt
Organism: Gymnothorax javanicus (giant moray)
Lineage: Eukaryota; Metazoa; Chordata; Actinopteri; Anguilliformes; Muraenidae
Source: the annotation of a GenBank genome assembly
GCAUUGGUGGUUCAGUGGUAGAAUUCUCACCUGCCAUUGGGAGGAGGCCGGUUCGAUUCCGGCCAAUGCA